UACAGAGGGGCAAGCGUUAUUCGGAAUUAUUGGGCGUAAAGGCGCGUAGGCGGCCAUUCAAGUGACGGGUGAAAGCCCUCGGCUUAACCGAGGAACUGCCUGUCAGACUGGAUGGCUUGAGACCGGGAGAGGUGAGUGGAAUUCCCAGUGUAGCGGUGAAAUGCGUAGAUAUUGGGAGGAACACCAGUGGCGAAGGGCGGCUCACUGGACCGGAACUGACGCUGA
Molecule: ribosomal RNA, 225 nt
Filed under: uncultured bacterium
Lineage: Bacteria
Description: partial 16S ribosomal RNA
Rfam family: Bacterial small subunit ribosomal RNA
Source: RNAcentral